Molecule: microRNA, 22 nt
Filed under: Homo sapiens (human)
Lineage: Eukaryota; Metazoa; Chordata; Mammalia; Primates; Hominidae
Description: hsa-miR-5692a
Source: miRBase by way of RNAcentral
CAAAUAAUACCACAGUGGGUGU